AGAAAUGUAGCUCAGUGGUAGAGUGCUUGCCUAGCAUGCACAAAGCCCUGGGUUCAAUCCCAACAUAUAUC
RNAcentral lists this transfer RNA (71 nucleotides) under Ictidomys tridecemlineatus (thirteen-lined ground squirrel). RNAcentral describes it as "Spermophilus tridecemlineatus (thirteen-lined ground squirrel) tRNA". It matches the Rfam family "tRNA". From Rfam's summary of the family: Transfer RNA (tRNA) molecules are approximately 80 nucleotides in length. Their secondary structure includes four short double-helical elements and three loops (D, anti-codon, and T loops). Lineage: Eukaryota; Metazoa; Chordata; Mammalia; Rodentia; Sciuridae. The record is from Rfam by way of RNAcentral.